GCUGGCGGCGUGCCUAAUACAUGCAAGUCGAGCGAACAGAUAAGGAGCUUGCUCCUUUGACGUUAGCGGCGGACGGGUGAGUAACACGUGGGUAACCUACCUAUAAGACUGGGAUAACUUCGGGAAACCGGAGCUAAUACCGGAUAACAUUUGGAACCGCAUGGUUCUAAAGUGAAAGAUGGUUUUGCUAUCACUUAUAGAUGGACCCGCGCCGUAUUAGCUAGUUGGUAAGGUAACGGCUUACCAAGGCGACGAUACGUAGCCGACCUGAGAGGGUGAUCGGCCACACUGGAACUGAGACACGGUCCAGACUCCUACGGGAGGCAGCAGUAGGGAAUCUUCCGCAAUGGGCGAAAGCCUGACGGAGCAACGCCGCGUGAGUGAUGAAGGGUUUCGGCUCGUAAAACUCUGUUAUUAGGGAAGAACAAAUGUGUAAGUAACUG
RNAcentral lists this ribosomal RNA (443 nucleotides) under Staphylococcus saprophyticus. RNAcentral describes it as "bacterial SSU rRNA". It matches the Rfam family "Bacterial small subunit ribosomal RNA", at positions 35 to 467 of the family's 1533-position model. The record is from RNAcentral. Lineage: Bacteria; Bacillati; Bacillota; Bacilli; Caryophanales; Staphylococcaceae.